ACAAUUUACAAAUGCACAUGCAGUCGGGUCCGAUCCGACUAAUUUGGACGCUAAAACCCUAAACCCUAUCAACCUUGUCCAAUAUCCCCAAGAUCUUCUCUUUGCUCAAACUUUCUUACAAUUCUACAAUGGCGUCAAGGUGUAGUAGAAUUAUCAAUAGGGCUUCAAUUUCUUCUAUCAGAUCCGCCAUUAAAUCCAAUUCCCAAUCAGCUUCUUCUUCACAGUCGUUUCCCAGUUUCUCUGCCUCAACCAGAUCUACAUCGUCCCCUCUCCGUCGGUUCUCUUUUUCAAGAAUUCCGUCGGAACUGGGAGGGUUGCAGUCAAUGUUGCCGCUACACAACGCAGUUGCUACGGCGAGGAUGACGUCAUGCCUGAGCUCAACAUCGAGGAGUUGCAGAGCUCUUUCACAGGGUACUCUCUGCUGCACCUCUCCAGACCUCUAGCAUGUUCCAUUUAUAACUACCCCAAAUUAAAAUAAAAACAAGCACAUGAAUUUCCAAAAGCAUGAAAGAAAUAUACUGGGAUAUCACAGGCCUUUCUAUUUUGCUUAAAUAAUACUGAAGGAACGUGAAAUUUUUUGCUCUUCAGGAGGAGAGCUGGGUCUCUCGGUACCAAGGUGACUUUGUUUAGCAGAUUGUCAAAGAAAGUUGUCAACUCUUUGAAUGGGAAGGCAAGAUUUUGUCCUAGGAAAGACAUUUAUGUUUAAUGACUGCUCAAACUUUACAAAAGUGGUAAUAGUAUUUGAAUGUAUUGAAUUUUCAGCUGGUUUUGCUGUUAAUUCUGAUUUCUGAUUCCUUGAUUACUUGGAAUAUUACUAUGGAAUAAUCCUUAUUUCCUUCUUUCCUUUUUGGGCCAAUUUGUUAUACUGAGAAUGGAAGAGGUUGGAGUUUUAUAACGAUUAA
This is an RNA transcript of Nicotiana tabacum (common tobacco), 902 nucleotides long. RefSeq lists it as uncharacterized. Lineage: Eukaryota; Viridiplantae; Streptophyta; Magnoliopsida; Solanales; Solanaceae. The record is from RefSeq and is a predicted model, not a curated record.